AAUGUCAGUUGACUCCUCAGCUUUGAACCGGCUGCUGAUCGUCUCUCAGCUCACAGGUGCCGUGAAUCAGUCUCAAGACCCAUGUCAUAAAGAAGCCGGAGCUAAGAAGACUUGAAGUGCUACUGAGUGGUUGUGCGUUCCUGUAAUCCCAGUACUAAGGAGGAGGGGACAGGAGGAUCAGGGGUUCAAGGUCACGUGGGUUACACGAUGAGUCCAAGGCCAGUCUGGGCUGCACAGGCCACUGUCUAAGAACACAAAAUGCAGACAGACAACCAGGGAGCUAAACAAUCUGCUGAACUUACGUAAAACUCCUAGCUUGCUCUCUUUGAGUUUGGUGAUGUCUUCUCAUGACCUUCAUGAGACACAUGUGUCAUUGUAGUUCAUGUUUUAUGAUGUGCUAGCUAACAUGAUUUCUGUGGAGAGAGAAUGAAAUAUGAAGGUGUCCCCAAAAAAACUA
RNAcentral lists this long non-coding RNA (457 nucleotides) under Rattus norvegicus (Norway rat). RNAcentral's name for it is "long non-coding RNA NONRATT016019". Lineage: Eukaryota; Metazoa; Chordata; Mammalia; Rodentia; Muridae. The record is from RNAcentral.